Molecule: non-coding RNA, 778 nt
Filed under: Acanthopsyche nigraplaga
Lineage: Eukaryota; Metazoa; Arthropoda; Insecta; Lepidoptera; Psychidae
Source: RNAcentral
AAAAAAUUUUUUAUAGAUUAAAUAAUUUAUUUAUAAUUUAUUUUAAAUAUAAAUUUUAGUGUAAUAAUUUUAUUAUUUUAAUAAUAAUGAAAUUAUUUUUUUUAUAUUAAUUAAUAUUAAUUAAUUUAAGAAAUUAUGAUUUAGUAAUAUUAGAGUUAAAUUAACUAAAUUUGUGCCAGCAGUUGCGGUUAUACAAAUAAUUUAAUAAAUUUUAUUGAUAAUAAUAAGUAAGUAUUAAAAUUAUAAAAUUAAAUAUAUAAAUAUUAAGUGAAAUUUUAUUUUUAUUAAAAUUUUAUUUUUAUUAUUUAAUAAAUUUUGUUAUAAACUAGGAUUAGAUACCCUAUUAUUAAAAUUUAAUUAUGUUAAUCAGAGUAGUAAAAUUGUUAUUUGAAAUUUAAAUAAUUUGGCGGUAUUUUAAUUUGUUUAGAGGAAUUUGUUAAUUAAUUGAUAAUCCACGAAUAAUUUUACUUAAUUUAAAAAUUUAUAUAUCGUUGUUAUAAAAAUAUUUUUAAAGAAUAAAUAAUAUUUAAAAAUUUAAAUUAAAGAUUAAAUCAGAUCAAGAUGUAGUUUAUAAUUAAGUUUAUAAUGAAUUACAAUAAAAUUAUUUAAAUGAAUAUUUAUUUGUAAAAAUAAAUUGAAGGUGGAUUUAAAUGUAAUUUUAAAUAAUUUUUUAAAAUGAUUGAAAAUUAAAAUAUGUACAUAUUGCCCGUCACUUUCAUUUAUAAAUUGAAAUAAGUCGUAACAAAGUAGAGGUACUGGAAAGUGUUUCUAGAUAGAA